Molecule: ribosomal RNA, 253 nt
Filed under: uncultured bacterium
Lineage: Bacteria
Description: partial 16S ribosomal RNA
Rfam family: Bacterial small subunit ribosomal RNA
Source: RNAcentral
UACGGGGGGUGCGAGCGUUGUCCGGAAUCACUGGGCGUAAAGAGCUCGUAGGCGGUCUGUUGCGUCGGCUGUGAAAACCCGGGGCUCAACCCCGGGCCUGCAGCCGAUACGGGCAGACUAGAGUUCGGCAGGGGAGACUGGAAUUCCUGGUGUAGCGGUGAAAUGCGCAGAUAUCGGGAGGAACACCUAUGGCGAAGGCAGCUCGCUGGGACGUUACUGACGCUGAGACGCGAAAGCGUGGGGAGCAAACAGG